AUUGAACGCUGGCGGCAUGCCUUACACAUGCAAGUCGAACGGCAGCAUGAUCUAGCUUGCUAGAUUGAUGGCGAGUGGCGAACGGGUGAGUAAUACAUCGGAACGUGCCCUGUAGUGGGGGAUAACUAGUCGAAAGAUUAGCUAAUACCGCAUACGACCUGAGGGUGAAAGUGGGGGACCGCAAGGCCUCAUGCUAUAGGAGCGGCCGAUGUCUGAUUAGCUAGUUGGUGAGGUAAAGGCUCACCAAGGCGACGAUCAGUAGCUGGUCUGAGAGGACGAUCAGCCACACUGGGACUGAGACACGGCCCAGACUCCUACGGGAGGCAGCAGUGGGAAAUUUUGGACAAUGGGCGAAAGCCUGAUCCAGCAAUGCCGCGUGUGUGAAGAAGGCCUUCGGGUUGUAAAGCACUUUUGUCCGGAAAGAAAUGGCUCUGGUUAAUACCUGGGGUCGAUGACGGUACCGGAAGAAUAAGGACCGGCUAACUACGUG
This 490-nucleotide ribosomal RNA is filed under the name uncultured bacterium. Its description in RNAcentral is "partial 16S ribosomal RNA". It matches the Rfam family "Bacterial small subunit ribosomal RNA", at positions 30 to 507 of the family's 1533-position model. The record is from RNAcentral.